RNAcentral lists this microRNA (22 nucleotides) under Macaca mulatta (Rhesus monkey). RNAcentral's name for it is "mml-miR-517b". Its record names the gene mml-miR-517b. The record is from miRBase by way of RNAcentral. RNAcentral also lists the same sequence under 6 other names. Lineage: Eukaryota; Metazoa; Chordata; Mammalia; Primates; Cercopithecidae.
AAAGUGCAUCCUUUUAGAGUGU